RNAcentral lists this ribosomal RNA (254 nucleotides) under uncultured bacterium. RNAcentral describes it as "partial 16S ribosomal RNA". It matches the Rfam family "Bacterial small subunit ribosomal RNA", at positions 524 to 776 of the family's 1533-position model. The record is from RNAcentral.
CACGUAGGGGCCAAGCGUUGUCCGGAUUCAUUGGGCGUAAAGAGCUCGUAGGCGGUUCAGUCAGUCGGGUGUGAAAUCUCCGGGCUCAACUCGGAGGGGCCACCCGAUACUGCUGUGACUCGAGUCCGGUAGGGGAGUGGGGAAUUCCUGGUGUAGCGGUGAAAUGCGCAGAUAUCAGGAGGAACACCGGUGGCGAAGGCGCCACUCUGGGCCGGUACUGACGCUGAGGAGCGAAAGCGUGGGGAGCGAACAGG